CUCUGAUGAAACCACUGCGAUCGAGUUUACUUACUUCGUCUUUCAGUGCCUCGUACCGUUCCGGAUUCAGCGCGCGUCUCUUCUGUCUAUGGGGGGCACAGGAGGGGUUGAUGUUAAGGUGAUGGCAACUGAUCCUGGGAUCUAUUCCCACCAUAUCCUCAUGUUUCCAUGCGAAGACAUCUAGGUUUUCUUUUAGGAAUCGUAUCAUCUCAAUUCUUGCUUCAGGCGAUAAUGACUUCCCUAUGCGCAAGACUUGAUUGGGGUCUUCUGGGUUGACUGGAAAAGUUUCCAGUUCUUCCAUUGGGGUCGCGUUUGGUUCAUAAUCAAUUAUUCGGGGAUCUAACUCGUCAAGAGGGUGUCCUUGUUCAGGAGCCUCUUCCAUUAUGACAUCUUCCCCUUGUUCAGAGGUAUGCCCUUGUUCAGGGGCGUCGAGCAUCUCCACAUCCGUACUGGCUUCAGCGGGUACUGCUUGAAUUACAUUGACAGUCCGGGGCUCCGAUUUUCGUAGCGAGUUUAGGUAACAUGCCCUAGAGCUCAUCUGAUCGCCCCGAACCGUUGCAAUCCCUCGUUCGGUUGGGAAUUUCAUGCACAGAUAGUGAAUGGACGUCACAGCCCAAAGGUCUUUUAGAGCCGGUCUGCCCAACACCCCAUGAUAAGCCGACCUAUGAUCUACGACCAGAAAUUCCAUGAAAUGCUGGGCGACCAGGGGGGCCGAACCCAUUUCCACAGGCAAGGUAAUCCGCCCUCGUGGGAUGAUGCUGUCCCCAGUGAAUCCGAACAGCGGGUCGGUCAUGGGGAUUAACCCAUGUUCAAUUUGCAUUUUGUCAAAAGUGGAGCCAAACAAUAUGUUCACGGAGCUGCCGUUAUCAACGAGCAUGCGUUUUAACCCGUUUCUAGCCACCACGGCCCUUACAACCAGAGCGUCGCAAUGGGGAUGGUGAACUCCUUCCGCGUCUUCCUGCGAGAAGGUGAUUGGGGCCAUCUUGUUUGCUGUUUUUGAUUCGUCGACAAUGUAGGUGAUCAUCGGGGGACCCUUAGCUUCUCUUGUAUAAUUUCUCUGGGCAUUCCUGGUGUUGCCGCCGACGUGGGGUCCCCCGAUGAUGGUAUCGAUUUCCCUGAUGACCUGGCUUCCAGUGAAUUGAGCUUGGCUCUCUUUCCUGGAUUGGACUCGGUUUCUCGACCCUCUUCUGCUGGGAGAUUGCUCUUGGUGACCCCUUCCUCCCCUCCUCGGGGAGGUGGAUCUGCGGGGGUGCUCAUUUCUGCCGAAAGUGAGGGGAUUGCUUCGAUCAGGGCGCCGGCUGGCAUCCCGACACUCACUGGUGUCAUGCCCAUAUAGUUGAUGGAAAGCACAAAAUCUUGCUCCUGGCAAGGGCCUGUUGGGCCUCUUCUUCUUCUUUUUGUCGUCAGUUCUUCCGGGUGGUGCUGCCUCAGUGGGUGUGCUAUCAUAUGCCAAUACCGGCACUGCGUUCAACGUGGCGGAAGCUAAGGCCUGUCCGGAUGUGGGAGCUAUGGUAUGCCCUGCUUGGGUCCAUUGCUGAGUAACAAGGUGCGCUGCGGGGCCUCGACCUACCUGCCUCUGUGGGGGAGGGAGUCCCUGCGCGGCACGGUUACGAUGAUCAAUCAUUUCUUCACUAAUUAUUUCUACCCUCAUCAUCUCCACCAACUCGUCGUACGUGGAGGGAUUCUUGCUGCGCACGUCCCUCCAAAACAAAGUGUUCAUGUUGAGACCACCUUUCAGGGCCGAAAGGGCUUCUCUGUCAGUGACCUGUUCGCAGUAAGUAAUCUCGUCUGUAAACCUGGCGAGAUAGCUUUUCAGCGUCUCUCCAGGGGCCUGCCUCAUGUCUUGCAGGCGUUGGAUCGGCGCCUCUCCUUCCCUUCGUGAGAGGUACUGGUUCAAAAAUGCUUUCUUCAAAUCCGGCCAACUUCUGAUGCUUAGGGGAGGAAGCCUGCUGUACCAUACCUCGGCGGCUCCGCCUAGUGUCAAAUGGAAAGCUCUGCACUUUAGAGCAGGUGAGGCCCCCCUAAGACUCAUUUGCGUCAUAUACUUUGUGAGGUGCUUCUCCGGAUCCCCUUUUCCCUCGUACUUGGGGAUCUUCGGGGGCAUGAAAUUAGCUGGCAUUGGGAAGCUUCGGAUUUCCCUUGAGAAAGGGAGGUUAUCGUCAUCGUCGUCAAUCUCAUAAGAUCGACAGGGCCCCUCUGAUCCUUGGUCAUCUUGGACGUCUUGGGGUGGGGGAGGUGCUUUCCCGCGGCUCCCCCAAUCGACUAAGUUUCUUCUCUCCUUCCUAUUUCUAGGAGGAGGGGCAUACUCUUCUUCGUUGUCUGACCGGACCGACCCUCUUGAAGGGCGGAUCCUAUUGCUAGGAUCGUUCCCUAUCCGGUCGAAGACGCUUACUGACCUCUGGUCAUGUCCUUGUGGAAAGUUGUCCCCCAAGGGUGGUUCUGAUGAGUGGCUCUUCUGCAUAUAAGAUGUUGCUUCGGUGUUAUCCUCUCUUUCGAGAGGACGUUCGGUGUGCCGGCUCGUAUGGCCUCGAGAAUGAGACAAAGGGAUUUCCCUUACCGGAUACGAUCCUUGGGGCAUCUGGUGUCCCUGAGCUUGCAUGAGGAGUUCCCGCAUCACCAUAUUCUGAGCUGCUAUGUCUCUCAUGCCUGCAGCUAUCUGGGCCAUUCCUUCGGUGAGUGCGGCUGUUCUUUCACCUCGCCGACGCCGGUGAUGCGGUCUCUGAUGAGUAACAUUGUUACGAAGUACUUCCUCCUCAGAGGCCUCUCUGAUGGGGUUGUCUUCACGGCUGUAGCUCAUCCUACCUCUUCUUUCAAGGAUAGUAAGAACUUGGAUUGUAACUUGACUCUUAUUCUUUUUCAAGAAUGCCGCCCUUUUCAGGGUCAGUUGCCGGUUUUCCGGUGGCUUCCCCGACGGGGAAUGUAGGACUUUGAAUGGGGAAUAACGGUUCCCACAGACGGCGCCAAACUGUUGACCCGUAAAAAUGGCUCUUCCACGUGGCCAACUUGCAGCUACUCCACGUAUUCCUCCCUACGAAAUUAACAAACUGUCAGGCGCACACGGCCGGAACCAGCGGUGGUGACGGCCGUAUACACUCCGACGGUCAAGUCAGAUUCGGGUGGUCGGAACAGUGUCCAGGAACUACAC
RNAcentral lists this long non-coding RNA (3145 nucleotides) under Olea europaea subsp. europaea. The record is from RNAcentral. Lineage: Eukaryota; Viridiplantae; Streptophyta; Magnoliopsida; Lamiales; Oleaceae.